GUGUAUACAUGUAAGGUCAUGGUCUACUUUCACUUUUAACAUGUAUCCAGUUUUCCCAACAUCAUUUAUUGAAUACACUGUCUUUACCCCAUU
This is a long non-coding RNA of Phyllostomus discolor (pale spear-nosed bat), 93 nucleotides long. RefSeq lists it as uncharacterized. The transcript is spliced from 3 exons. The record is from RefSeq and is a predicted model, not a curated record. Lineage: Eukaryota; Metazoa; Chordata; Mammalia; Chiroptera; Phyllostomidae.